GCUGGGCUGUUUUCUGACCCCCGGCGGCGGCGCUCUGUGCGGCUGCGCGCGCACUGGGACUUCUGCUCCUGCGCCUCUGCAGGACGCUGUGAUCCCGGUAGACCCAACCCGACCGAGCGUCUUCCGCGCUGCGGGAAGCCGGAGCAGAGCCGGCACCUCGGGUAAAGUCAUUUCAGUUGCUUUUGCCAAGAGUCAGCUAUUUGACGCUGGUAACUGACAAAGUGAAAAAGCACUUUCAGAAGGUUAUGAGACAAGAAGAUGUUAGUGAGAUUUGGUUUGAAUAUGAAGGCACACCCCUGAAAUGAGUUUUCCAGAAAAGGACCUUCUGCACUGUCCGUGCAAGGAUGCAGUUGAGGCUCACUUUAUGUCAUGUGUGAAGGAAGCUGACGCUUUAAAGCACAAAAGUCAGGUGAUCAACGAAAUGCAGAGAAAAGACCACAAGCAGCUCUGGAUGGGACUGCAGAAUGACAGAUUUGACCAGUUUUGGACCAUCAACCGGAAACUCAUGGAAUACCCUCCAGAAGAAAAUGGAUUUCGUUAUAUCCCUUUUAGAAUAUAUCAG
This 562-nucleotide long non-coding RNA is filed under the name Rattus norvegicus (Norway rat). RNAcentral describes it as "long non-coding RNA NONRATT017463". Lineage: Eukaryota; Metazoa; Chordata; Mammalia; Rodentia; Muridae. The record is from RNAcentral.